AUGACUCAUACUUGGAUGGGGGAGGAGGAAAGACAACUGCUCCUAAGACCUGAGAUGAACACAGAAGUGGUGGGAAGCCUGGCAGCCAAAGGGAAAAAGCAAAGACACAUGGAAGUGUUCUCUGAGUGUGGGAGCAGACAGGAUCCAGGGCAGACAGGACAGCAACCAGGGUGCUGGUUUGAAUAUCUGCUGAGUCUCUGACCCCUUGUGCUCAUGACUGAAGGACAAAGGAGAAGCUAUCUAGAAGCUGUCUAGAGACGUUUUCUGUAGAAGAGGCACUUUCACAGCUAUAAUCAUGACAAAAGUCAAUAUAUAUGUAUAGUUGUGGAAAUAAUUUUAAUUUCAGAGCCUUUCAGAGUCUUUAUAUGUCCCUGAUACACACUGUCAGACUGCACUGAGGUAAAAUUUUGAGCCAAAACCCAUGCAUUGCUCUGCCAACCUCAUGUGAGCAGUGACUGUGUCUCUACCUUUUCUUGCUGGCAUUGCCAAAUGUUUAUAGCUUGGUUGAAGGUCCCUACUCCCACUGGGACAAUCCCUCCCCUCCAAGCCCUGCACUGGCAGUCAGCUGUUGGAAGGCACCUACCUGAGACAUAAAAAUGAACCACAGCUCUCUCACGUGCCAUAUUGACAUAAAACAAAGCAGCCACAGGACACAGCUGCAUGAGUCUCAAGAAAUGGGAUUUCUGUAAAUACCUUCCAAGUUCCACAUCUUUGGAAAACAAAAACAAAGCAAAACAAUGAAGCAAAACAAAACAAAAACAAAACAAGCAAUAACAACAACAAACAACUGGAAUCUUUCUUUAUUCUCCUACGUAUUCACUAAGUCAAUAUUUACUUCCUUCAAGUAAGUAAGGUUUACAUGGAUGAACUGAUGGGAGAAAUUGGAGCUUUAUCUUUGUAGCAACACAAAAUAUGUAAACUAGAGUACAUAACCUUUCUUACUCCCACCUUCAUGGUAAAAAAAGGUACUAAAUAUAAGGUCAGGAUUAUAAUUGAAACCUUUUGACCCUUUUUCUUCUCUGAAAAAACGAGUCACUUUCUUUUCUUUUUGUUAUUUUAAUCUUGCAGAUUAAAAGAUGAGAAGAUAAAGAUCUGCAGUAAAAUGGGGAUUAGGAUUAGUGAAGUAAAGAUUAGGAUUUUUCACCUUGCAAGAAAGCUUGCAAUCCUGGUGAGAAAUCUUUUGAAAUUGUCUCCAUUUGAGUUAUUAUUUUGACACCGGGAUUGGCUUUUCAAAGGAUGAACACAGAGAGCCAAUAAAAUUAAUUUCCCAAUGUCA
Molecule: long non-coding RNA, 1276 nt
Filed under: Anas platyrhynchos platyrhynchos (common mallard)
Lineage: Eukaryota; Metazoa; Chordata; Aves; Anseriformes; Anatidae
Description: lncRNA (ENSAPLG00000024301.1)
Source: RNAcentral